Molecule: non-coding RNA, 96 nt
Filed under: chicken gut metagenome
Source: RNAcentral
UACAACGGGGAGCCGAAAGGCUGAGAGGAAGCCGGACAUAAAUGCCGGGCUUCGACCCAUGGACCUGAUUUGGAUAAUGCCAACGUAGGGAAAUAU